Molecule: long non-coding RNA, 1170 nt
Filed under: Carica papaya (papaya)
Lineage: Eukaryota; Viridiplantae; Streptophyta; Magnoliopsida; Brassicales; Caricaceae
Description: long non-coding RNA (CPAP_LNC015419)
Source: RNAcentral
GUAAUAACCAAUUAUAUCAGUUCCUUCACUAAGGCACUAGUGAUUCUCUAUAAAGUUCCAGUGAAAAUAAAUAAAUGAUGAAAAAUGAGUACAAUAAAAAUAUUAAAAAAUGAUUAGAAAUAAAUAUUAUCUUCCAGCAGUUUCCGGCCAUAAAUAUCCUCACUUCUUUUACCCAGAAUUUCUAGUUACAAAAAAAAAAAAACUGUGGAUAACAAUUCAAACAUGAAGAUGGAAGAAAACCUAACUUUGGAUCUCAGCAAAUUACAUUAUUUGCUCUCUUUUCUUAAUCUAAUGCUUGUUUUCCAACUAUAAAAGUCCACUAGGGCAUUGAGCACAGCAUAGAAGUAUAAAUAAAACAAAUACUCGGUCUACCAAUAGGCAAAAUUCAAGCACCAACCUUUUGGCGCCUACUUCUUGUCUCGUGAUCAGGCCUAGAUCGUCCAACUUUAGACGCCAUUGCCGUCGUACACAAUACCUAUAUCAUGUCGAAACUGAGAACGCCCGCGGAAACAAAGAAAGAAAAAUCAAAAUCAUUGCAUGCCAGUUGAAAUGUCGAAAUGCUUGGUAAAAAACGACAGAAGAUAUAACCAACAAAAUGGAAUCUUAAUUUCAAGUCAAAAACAUAGUUCUAGAAAUUCAUUACUCAACAAAUUUAUAAAUUAGCCCUUUUAGCACCAGAAGUUCUCGAAUGCUGUGAUUUUUACAAGUAUUUCUCGAAUAAAUUAGAAUAACCAUCUUCUUUACAGGCGAAGCAGUAACCGAACCCGAAGAUGGAAAUGGAACAAACCGAAACUUAUAUCGGUAACUGAUCUAUGAGUCCAGAAAGUGAUGGAGAAAUAAACAGUUGUUUGGAAUACGCUGAUAGAUCCAUGGAAAUGAUCGAUGAGUUUUCCUCGAAGAAUCCCAAGUGGAGGAGAAGGAAAUGAAGACAGAGAAAGGCGCAGCUUACCAGAAGCGGCGCCGCGCCGAUGUUCCUUCGCCUAUUGAAACCCUAACAAUGGACACAGAAGUAGGGAGGACCUCUACCUUUGGGCUGGGCUUUUCUGCAGGACUAUGCUACUGUCAUGCAGUUCAACAGUCCUAAUACCAACAAUUCUCUGCUGGGUUUUAUUUCGAUUAAGUUCGCAGGAAGAAGAAGAAAAUACCAUAGAUACAAAAUAUUAUAUCUAU